GGUGGUAACCACGAAGGUAUAGAUCGCGGCGUUCGUGCGGCAAAUGACUGUUCUGACGAACGCAAUCAAAAACCUCCAACAGCAACCGACUCAGUUACCGCAACCGUCGGUGGAACAAUCGGCGGCGCACCCUAUGCCAUCCAGAAGUAGCCACCGACGCCCGCAUCAACUUCCGUCUCCUCCUCAAGAGCAGCCAUUUCAGCACUCCCACUGAGA
RNAcentral lists this long non-coding RNA (216 nucleotides) under Elaeis guineensis (African oil palm). RNAcentral's name for it is "long non-coding RNA (EGUI_LNC080963)". The record is from RNAcentral. Lineage: Eukaryota; Viridiplantae; Streptophyta; Magnoliopsida; Arecales; Arecaceae.